GAAAGUAAGCAAGGGCAGACGGUGGAUGCCUUGGCUCUCGGAGGCGAUGAAGGACGUGAUAAGCUGCGAUAAGCUUGGGGUAGGUGCAAAUAACCUUUGAUCCCAAGAUUUCCGAAUGGGGCAACCCGGCUGGUAGAAGGCCAGUCAUUCCGUAAGGAAGGCGAACGUGGGGAACUGAAACAUCUAAGUACCCAUAGGAGAAGAAAACAAAAGUGAUUCCGCAAGUAGUGGCGAGCGAACGCGGAACAGCCCAAACCGAUGAUGUUUAGGCAUUGUCGGGGUAGUAGGACCACGUUGUGGCAAGAGAUUAAGGAAGUAGAACGUUUUGGAACAAACGGCCGUAGACGGUGAAAGCCCGGUAUACGACUCUUUAACGAAGCCUAGUGGUAUCCUGAGUAGCGCGGAGCACGAGAAAUUCUGUGUGAAUCAGCGGGGCCCAUCCCGUAAGGCUAAAUACUCCCGAGAGACCGAUAGCGAACCAGUACUGUGAAGGAAAGGUGAAAAGCACCUCGAACAGAGGAGUGAAAUAGUCCCUGAAACCGUCUGCCUACAAGCGGUCGGAGCAACGUAAGUUGUGACGGCGUGCCUUUUGCAUAAUGAACCUACGAGUUACUUUCUCCGGCAAGGUUAAGGGCUUCAGGCCCGGAGCCGAAGCGAAAGCGAGUCUUAAUAGGGCGUGAUAGUCGGAGUGAGUAGACGCGAAACCAAGUGAUCUACCCUUGGUCAGGAUGAAGGUUGGGUAACACCAACUGGAGGUCCGAAUGGGUAUACGUUGAAAAGUGUUCCAAUGAACUGAGGGUAGGGGUGAAAGGCUAAUCAAACUUGGAGAUAGCUCGUACUCCCCGAAAUGCAUUUAGGUGCAGCCUUGCGGGUUACUGAUGUGAGGUAGAGCGACUGAUAAGAUGCGAGGGCUUCACCGCCUAUCAAGUCUUGACAAACUCCGAAUGCGCAUCAGUUCUACCGCAGGAGUGAGGGCAUGGGUGCUAAGGUCCGUGCCCGAGAGGAGAAGAAUCCGGACCACCUGCUAAGGUCCCGAAAUAACAGCUAAGUUAAACUAACGAAGUCAGAUUGCUAAGACAGCUAGGAUGUUGGCUUGGAAGCAGCCAUUCAUUUAAAGAGUGCGUAACAGCUCACUAGUCGAGGAGUCCGGCGUGGAUAAUACUCGGGCAUAAACUGUUUACCGAAGCUAUGGAUGUAGAAAUACAUGGUAGGGGAGCAUUCCAACGGCGUUGAAGGUGAAGGAUGACCUUUGCUGGAGCUUUUGGAAACGCAAAUGUAGGUAUAAGUAACGAUAAAGGAGGUGAGAAACCUCCUCGCCGAAAGACUAAGGUUUCCUGAUCAACGUUAAUCGGAUCAGGGUAAGUCGGGACCUAAGGUUAAGCCGAACGGCGAUACCGAUGGAAGAAUGGUUUAAUAUUCCCAUACUACUUUAUGGAGCGAUGUGGAGACGGAGAAGUGAAAGUCCUGCCAUCUGACGGAAUAGGUGGUUGAAGAGUGUAGAUGUAGAUUCCUGUAGGCAAAUCCGCAGGGAGAGUCGACCUUGAUAGUAUGCCGCGUGCUUGCACAAGGCAAAAUGGACGUAAUCAGGCUCCCAAGAAAAUCCGCUAAGCAUAUUCAUAAAGUACCCGUACCGUAAACGGACACACGUAGUUGGGUUGAAAAUACUGAGGCGCUCGAGUGAUUCACGGUUAAGGAACUAGGCAAAUUGACCCUGUAACUUCGGGAUAAAGGGUCCCUCCCUCCGGGGAGGGCGCAGAGAAUAGGUCCAGGCAACUGUUUAACAAAAACACAGGGCUGUGCGAAAUUGAAAGAUGAAGUAUACAGCCUGACACCUGCCCGGUGCUGGAAGGUUAAGAGGAGAUGUCAUCGCAAGAGAAGCAUUGAAUUGAAGCCCCAGUAAACGGCGGCCGUAACUAUAACGGUCCUAAGGUAGCGAAAUUCCUUGUCGGGUAAGUUCCGACCUGCACGAAUGGUGUAA
This 1978-nucleotide ribosomal RNA is filed under the name human gut metagenome. RNAcentral's name for it is "bacterial LSU rRNA". It matches the Rfam family "Bacterial large subunit ribosomal RNA", at positions 1 to 2004 of the family's 2925-position model. The record is from RNAcentral.